RNAcentral lists this ribosomal RNA (243 nucleotides) under uncultured bacterium. RNAcentral's name for it is "partial 16S ribosomal RNA". It matches the Rfam family "Bacterial small subunit ribosomal RNA", at positions 96 to 339 of the family's 1533-position model. The record is from RNAcentral.
CGGCGCACGGGUGCGUAACGCGUAUGCAAUCUACCCUUUACUGGAGAAUAGCCCGGAGAAAUUCGGAUUAAUGCUCCAUAUGCUCGUAGGAUCUCCUGAUCCAGCGAGGAAAGCUCCGGCGGUAAAGGAUGAGCAUGCGUCCCAUUAGCUUGUUGGUGAGGUAACGGCUCACCAAGGCGACGAUGGGUAGGGGGCCUGAGAGGGCGAUCCCCCACACUGGGACUGAGAUACGGCCCAGACUCC